UCAAGGUGAGAGAUACGGAGGUAGAGCACUGAAUGUCCUAGGGGGUAUUGCACCUACCGAAGACUAUCAAACUCCGAAUGCCGUCAUCUUAUACUUGGGAGUCAGACUGUGGGUGAUAAGAUUCAUAGUCGAAAGGGCAACAGCCCAGAUCGUCAGCUAAGGUCCCUAAAUGUAAGUUAAGUGGUAAAGGAUGUGGGAUUGCACAGACAACCAGGAUGUUGGCUUAGAAGCAGCCACUCAUUCAAAGAGUGCGUAAUAGCUCACUGGUCGAGUGAUCCUGCGCCGAAGAUUUCCGGGGCUAAAACUUACUACCGAAGCUACGGCAUCAGUAAUGAUGGGUAGGGGAGCUUCCCAUACGGGUUGAAGCAUGACCGUAAGGACAUGUGGACAGUAUGGGAGUGAGAAUGUUGGCAUGAGUAGCGAGAUGUGGGUGAGAAUCCCACAGGCCGUAAACCCAAGGUUUCCAGGGGAAGGUUCGUCCGCCCUGGGUUAGUCGGGACCUAAGCUGAGGCCGAAAGGCGUAGGUGAUGGACAACAGGUUGAUAUUCCUGUACUACCGAUAACCGUUUGAGAGAAGGGAUGACACAGUAGGAUAAGCUAAGCACACUGUUGGUUAUGUGUGCCCAAGCAUUGAGGCAGUCAAAGUAGGCAAAUCCGCUUUGAUAAUGCUGGGAUGUGAUGGGGAGCGAAAUUUAGUAGCGAAGUAGCUGAUUUCACACUGUCAAGAAAAGUCUCUAUCGAGGUUAAAGGUACCCGUACCGCAAACCGACACAGGUGGGUGAGGAGAGUAUCCUAAGGCCAGCGAGAGAACUGUUGUUAAGGAACUCGGCAAAAUGACCCCGUAACUUAGGGAUAAGGGGUGCCACCAUCAGGUGGCCGCAGAGAAUAGGCCCAAGCGACUGUUUACCAAAAACAUAGGUUUCUGCUAAGUCGCAAGACGAUGUAUAGGAGCUGACGCCUGCCCGGUGCUGGAAGGUUAAGGGGAUCUGUUAGAGCAAUCGAAGCAGUGAACUUAAGCCCCAGUAAACGGCGGCCGUAACUAUAACGGUCCUAAGGUAGCGAAAUUCCUUGUCGGGUAAGUUCCGACCCGCACGAAAGGCGUAACGAUUUGGGCACUGUCUCAACAACAGACUCGGUGAAAUUGUAAUUCCGGUGAAGAUGCCGGAUACCUGCGACAGGACGGAAAGACCCCAUGGAGCUUUACUGUAGCUUGACAUUGGGUCUUGGUACUACAUGUACAGGAUAGGUGGGAGGCUUUGAAACCAGGACGCCAGUUUUGGCGGAGCCAUCCUUGGGAUACCACCCUUGUAGUACUGGGACUCUAACCAUAGGCCAUGAAUCUGGUCUUGGGACACUGUCAGGUGGGCAGUUUGACUGGGGCGGUCGCCUCCCAAAAGGUAACGGAGGCGCUCAAAGGUUCUCUCAGUACGGUCGGAAAUCGUACGUAGAGUGUAAAGGCAAAAGAGAGCUUGAUUGCAAGACAUACAGGUCGAGCAAGGAUGAAAAUCGGACUUAGUGAUCCGGUGGUUCUGCGUGGAAGGGCCAUCGCUCAACGGAUAAAAGCUACCCUGGGGAUAACAGGCUUAUCUCCCCCAAGAGUCCACAUCGACGGGGAGGUUUGGCACCUCGAUGUCGGCUCAUCACAUCCUGGGGCUGUAGUAGGUCCCAAGGGUUGGGCUGUUCGCCCAUUAAAGUGGUACGCGAGCUGGGUUCAGAACGUCGUG
This 1724-nucleotide ribosomal RNA is filed under the name Clostridioides difficile. Its description in RNAcentral is "bacterial LSU rRNA". It matches the Rfam family "Bacterial large subunit ribosomal RNA", at positions 882 to 2623 of the family's 2925-position model. Lineage: Bacteria; Bacillati; Bacillota; Clostridia; Peptostreptococcales; Peptostreptococcaceae. The record is from RNAcentral.